GCUGCUGCUGCUCUGCAGGAGCCAGGCACUGGGGGCUGCCCCAUCCCAGGGCAAGGCUGGCUCAUGGAAUCAUGAUCUUCCAUGCUGCAAAAGGGUCCUGGAAAUGCUGAGUCCAUGCAACUCAUGCUGCUGUGCUGUGGGAUGUGGGUGCUUUGCUGUAGGUUCUUGAAGUACUGAGCCAGCUGAAACAUUUCUGACAUAACACCAAAACAUCAGGAAACCUGGAGAAGAGAGCAUUCCAAAUAGUGGUGAUGGAGGAUCUCCUCUGGCAGGGUGUUUCUGCCUAAAGAGGGGGAUGCUGCAUUCCUCAGAGAGUGUUUUCCCAGCACAGAGUUAAAAGGAGGCUCUGCAGGGAAUCCCUGUGUUCACCCACGCUGGUUUUGCUGCCUGUCAUCUCAUUACACAUUCCUUUACAGGUUCCUCAGUGCUCCCUGGUGUGGCAGGCAGGCAGCACAGAGCAUGUGAGGUACCUGUUCCUCAGGGGGCCCAGCAGGACGUGCUCUCCCUUGUGCUUUCACAGCAUCUCAGCGCCCUGGGAUGGGCAGUGCUGUUCAGUGCCAGGGUUUGGGAACAGCAUCAUCAGCUGUUGCCUGUGUGAUGAGAACAGAAUCCCCCUGGCUGCUCCCUGCUCCAUCUCUGGCUCUGAGCAGUGCUGGAGGAAGGAUGGCAGUGCUUCACAGGGGCAGUGGGCACUGCUGCUCCUGGCACACACAGUGAGAGUGUCCAGCCCUGCACAGAGCACCUGCACUUCUGUGUCCUUGUGAGAGUGAGGAGGAAUAACAUGGGGAAUCCUGGUGCUUGGAUUCCUGCUGUAGCUGACGUUUCCUCUGCAGCUGUGGCAGGUGACGGAAAUGCCUCUGAUGGCAAUAGAAAUGUUCCUGAUGAAGGGGAGAAGGCAGCUGCAGCUCCUGUGUCUGUGCCAAGAUGAAAAUCUUCAUCGUUGAGUGGUUUGCAAAGGCACAACUGCAGUCACCUCAAAUCAUGCUGUUGCUGAGUGAGCACCAGCUCUCCAUUCCAGCAGUAUCAGAGAGAAGCAAUCUGGCUGCAUGAGUGAACUCACUCAUCCCCAGCAACAAACAGGAGGCACCUGGGCAGGGUCUCUGACUCCAACAGUCUUUGCUGGGGGAAUAAAAGGCAGAAAACUUGUGUGAGAUAUAUACAAAGGCCAAAAUGUGGGUGGGCAUGUAAGACUCUCAAUAUUCUGCUCAAAACCAGCCCUACCAGCAGUCAUGUGUGGCACAUUUAAUAACAGACCCUCAGAUCAAUUCUCAUGCUGUCUGAUGAAGGUCCAAGCUGAAGAACAAAACCUGGUCUGUCCUUUGUUUGAAGGACAGCAAAAAAGGGUCUCCUCCAUUCCUCUUCCAUGUUCUGUGCAGACAGAAAAAAAAGGAAAAAGCAGUAAAUUAGAAAAUGCACAGAGCACUCUUGAGUCUGGAUAGUGCAGAGUAUUGCUGUUUCUGGGGUUUCAAGGACUCUUGUCAUAAGCUGUUCGUUCCUCAGUGUUACCUCUCUCUUAGAUGCUUCUUGAGAUGCAUUGAUGCCUAAGCUCAGAAACCCCUUUGAUCUGUGCUUACUUUGCUGAGCAUUUACCAACUUAAAAGUGCCCAUGUUAAACUUUAAUAUUCCCAUGUCUGGCACUGGAUGUUCCAACUACUGCUGCUUUUUUGGGAUGUCUCAGAAGAUACCAGUGUGUGUAGCUGGGUCAAGUAGCUGAUGGGUGAAAUGAGCAAUGACUGGCUGUGUGUAAUAGUCUGCAUCUGUUACUGAAAUUCAGAAGCUUUCCUGCCUUUUUGUAUUUUGUAAGGCAUGCAGUGUCAUAGGCGUUGUGUGUUCUUUUCUCUUGCUGAUGUGAAUGUGCACCACAGGCAGCAGCACUUAGUGUAUAAAAUAUCUCAGCUUCAUAGUCACAUUUGGCAAGUAGAUUUAAAAAAUAAAAAGGGGAAGGGAAUUUCUGCAUUUAACAACAACUCCAUUGCUAUUUGUUGUAUUCUUCAGAAGGCAUUGCCAGAAUUUCACUCUUUUUCUUGGGGCAUACUGUGAAAUAAAAAGAUGAGGGAGACUCUACAGGAGAGACGCAGCCAUGGAGUUACCAAAGAAAUUGAUAACUCUCAUGUGCCACAUCUCCAAAUGCUCUCCUGAUAAA
Molecule: long non-coding RNA, 2143 nt
Organism: Passer domesticus (house sparrow)
Lineage: Eukaryota; Metazoa; Chordata; Aves; Passeriformes; Passeridae
Exons: 2
Source: RefSeq, a predicted model, not a curated record